CAUAUCAAUAAGCGGAGGAAAAGAAACUAACAAGGAUUCCCCUAGUAACUGCGAGUGAAGCGGGAAAAGCUCAAAUUUAAAAUCUGUCAGUCUUUGGCUGUCCGAGUUGUAAUCUAGAGAAGUGUUAUCCGCGCUGGACCGUGUACAAGUCUCCUGGAAUGGAGCGUCAUAGAGGGUGAGAAUCCCGUCUUUGACACGGACUGCCAGGGCUUUGUGAUGUGCUCUCAAAGAGUCGAGUUGUUUGGGAAUGCAGCUCAAAAUGGGUGGUAAAUUCCAUCUAAAGCUAAAUAUUGGCGAGAGACCGAUAGCGAACAAGUACCGUGAGGGAAAGAUGAAAAGAACUUUGGAAAGAGAGUUAAACAGUACGUGAAAUUGCUGAAAGGGAAACGCUUGAAGUCAGUCGCGUUGUCCAGGGAUCAACCUUGCUUUUGCUUGGUGUACUUUCUGGUUGACGGGUCAGCAUCAAUUUUGACCAUUGGAAAAAUAUCAGGGGAAUGUGGCAUCUUCGGAUGUGUUAUAGCCCUUGGUUGUAUACAAUGGUUGGGAUUGAGGAACUCAGCACGCCGCAAGGCCGGGUUUUUAACCACGUACGUGCUUAGGAUGCUGGCAAAAUGGCUUUAAUCGACCCGUCUUGAAACACGGACCAAGGAGUCUAACAUACCUGCGAGUGUUUGGGUGGAAAACCCGAGCGCGUAAUGAAAGUGAAAGUUGAGAUCCCUGUCAUGGGGAGCAUCGACGCCCGGACCAGACCUUUUGUGACGGUUCCGCGGUAGAGCAUGUAUGUUGGGACCCGAAAGAUGGUGAACUAUGCCUGAAUAGGGUGAAGCCAGAGGAAACUCUGGUGGAGGCUCGUAGCGAUUCUGACGUGCAAAUCGAUCGUCAAAUUUGGGUAUAGGGGCGAAAGA
This 905-nucleotide ribosomal RNA is filed under the name Cortinarius peraureus. RNAcentral's name for it is "partial large subunit ribosomal RNA". It matches the Rfam family "Eukaryotic large subunit ribosomal RNA", at positions 39 to 930 of the family's 3401-position model. The record is from RNAcentral. Lineage: Eukaryota; Fungi; Basidiomycota; Agaricomycetes; Agaricales; Cortinariaceae.